GAACUGCUGGUGCUACCACACCUGUGUUCUUUAUACUCAAUGCAUAGAAAGAGGAGGCAUACAAAACCCAUUUCAUAUAUAUCUCAGUCCCAAACCUUUGCCUAGUCUGCAUUGUGAAUAGAGGGAUAUGG
Small nucleolar RNA from Sorex fumeus (smoky shrew), 131 nucleotides. RefSeq annotates it as small nucleolar RNA SNORA51. NCBI's taxonomy places the organism in Eukaryota, Metazoa, Chordata, Mammalia, Eulipotyphla, Soricidae. The transcript has a single exon. The record is from RefSeq and is a predicted model, not a curated record.